This 239-nucleotide ribosomal RNA is filed under the name Deltochilum sp. sp121. RNAcentral describes it as "partial 28S ribosomal RNA". It matches the Rfam family "Eukaryotic large subunit ribosomal RNA", at positions 664 to 854 of the family's 3401-position model. Lineage: Eukaryota; Metazoa; Arthropoda; Insecta; Coleoptera; Scarabaeidae. The record is from RNAcentral.
GACCAAGGAGUCUAGCAUGUGCGCGAGUCAUUGGGAAGAUGAAACUAAACCUAAAGGCGCAAUGAAAGUAAAGGUCCGCGCUCGGUCUUCCGACGCGCGGACCGAGGGAAGAUGGGCCCGUCCCCGGACGGGCCCCGCACUCCCGGGGCGUCUCGUCCUCAUCGCGAGGAGAGGCGCACCCAGAGCGUACACGCUGGGACCCGAAAGAUGGUGAACUAUGCCUGGUCAGGACGAAGUCA